This 50-nucleotide small RNA is filed under the name Arabidopsis thaliana (thale cress). RNAcentral describes it as "ATSL224730". Lineage: Eukaryota; Viridiplantae; Streptophyta; Magnoliopsida; Brassicales; Brassicaceae. The record is from RNAcentral.
AGAUCGGAUAUUGCCUGAGGCUUCUACCGUCUUAUGAAGUUGCUGUGACA